This 468-nucleotide ribosomal RNA is filed under the name uncultured bacterium. RNAcentral's name for it is "partial 16S ribosomal RNA". It matches the Rfam family "Bacterial small subunit ribosomal RNA", at positions 28 to 507 of the family's 1533-position model. The record is from RNAcentral.
GACGAACGCUGGCGGCGUGCUUAACACAUGCAAGUCGAACGGAAAGGCCCUGCUUUUGUGGGGUGCUCGAGUGGCGAACGGGUGAGUAACACGUGAGUAACCUGCCCUUGACUUUGGGAUAACUUCAGGAAACUGGGGCUAAUACCGGAUAGGAGCUCCUGCUGCAUGGAGGGGGUUGGAAAGUUUCGGCGGUUGGGGAUGGACUCGCGGCUUAUCAGCUUGUUGGUGGGGUAGUGGCUUACCAAGGCUUUGACGGGUAGCCGGCCUGAGAGGGUGACCGGCCACAUUGGGACUGAGAUACGGCCCAGACUCCUACGGGAGGCAGCAGUGGGGAAUAUUGCACAAUGGGCCGAAGCCUGAUGCAGCAACGCCGCGUGCGGGAUGACGGCCUUCGGGUUGUAAACCGCUUUCGCCUGUGACGAAGCGUGAGUGACGGUAAUGGGUAAAGAAGCACCGGCUAACUACGUG